ACUCUAGGAGCACCUCCAAUGG
Molecule: non-coding RNA, 22 nt
Filed under: Arabidopsis thaliana (thale cress)
Lineage: Eukaryota; Viridiplantae; Streptophyta; Magnoliopsida; Brassicales; Brassicaceae
Source: RNAcentral